GUAUAUAUCUAUACUCUUGUGACGCAAAAUCUGGUUUUUCCCCAAAAAUAUGCAAAUCCAAAGUUAGGAGUAUAAAUGAAUUUGGGAUUAUUUAUAAAUAAUGUAUAAAUUUGUGUUCUUGAAAUCAAGUUGGGGGCUUUGCUUGAAUCUGGUUGUAUUGUAAAAAAAUGGGUUUAGAUCAAAUUGUGGGGCUGAUUUGUUGUUAAAAUCGGAGCAGUGGGCUGGUGGUGGUAGCUGGCCGGAGCUCGCGUCGGCGUCGCCGACGGAGCCCGCGGCGGUGCGCAGCGACGGUGAGCGAAACAGAGAUGGUGAGGAAAGCAAGAGAGAGGGAGAGGUAUGUGUGGGCUGUGUGCGUGUGUACGUCGGGGAGGAAGCCGACCGUGGCAGCGAGAUGGUGGUGAUUGGCAGCGAGAAGAGAGAAAGGGAGAGAGAGAGAGAGAGAGAGAGAGAGAGAAAGAGAGAGAGAUUAGAGAAUAGAGAGAUGAGAGUAGGCCACCAGAGCCAUACUCCGGCCGGCGGGGAAGAAAUGGUGAAGAGAAGAGGAAGAUGGGGAGAGAUGGAGAGAGUAGUUUAAUAAUUAUAUAAUUAAAAAUUUCUAUAUGUAAUAAAAGGUAAUAAAUUUGGGUUUUUAAGUAAUAUAGGUUGAAUAAGGGAUUUGGGGUAAUAAAAAUUAUUGGAUUUGGGGUUAAGAAUUUCAAUUGAAAAAGAGCAGCGUACAAAUAUUAAUUUAAAAAUGUUUUGAUUAAUAAAAAUACUAUUUUGGGUAUAGAUAUAUAUAAUAAGGACACGGA
RNAcentral lists this long non-coding RNA (791 nucleotides) under Daucus carota (carrot). RNAcentral's name for it is "long non-coding RNA (DCAR_LNC005093)". Lineage: Eukaryota; Viridiplantae; Streptophyta; Magnoliopsida; Apiales; Apiaceae. The record is from RNAcentral.